UUACUUCGGUAAAGAGCGGCGGACGGGUGAGUAACGCGUGGGUAACCUGCCCUGUACACACGGAUAACAUACCGAAAGGUAUGCUAAUACGAGAUAAUAUGCUUUUAUCGCAUGGUAGAAGUAUCAAAGCUUUUGCGGUACAGGAUGGACCCGCGUCUGAUUAGCUAGUUGGUAAGGUAACGGCUUACCAAGGCGACGAUCAGUAGCCGACCUGAGAGGGUGAUCGGCCACAUUGGAACUGAGACACGGUCCAAACUCCUACGGGAGGCAGCAGUGGGGAAUAUUGCACAAUGGGCGAAAGCCUGAUGCAGCAACGCCGCGUGAGCGAUGAAGGCCUUCGGGUCGUAAAGCUCUGUCCUCAAGGAAGAUAAUGACGGUACUUGAGGAGGAAGCCCCGGCUAACUACGUGCCAGCAGCCGCGGUAAUACGUAGGGGGCUAGCGUUAUCCGGAAUUACUGGGCGUAAAGGGUGCGUAGGUGGUUUCUUAAGUCAGAGGUGAAAGGCUACGGCUCAACCGUAGUAAGCCUUUGAAACUGGGAAACUUGAGUGCAGGAGAGGAGAGUGGAAUUCCUAGUGUAGCGGUGAAAUGCGUAGAUAUUAGGAGGAACACCAGUUGCGAAGGCGGCUCUCUGGACUGUAACUGACACUGA
This 650-nucleotide ribosomal RNA is filed under the name uncultured Clostridium sp. Its description in RNAcentral is "bacterial SSU rRNA". It matches the Rfam family "Bacterial small subunit ribosomal RNA", at positions 80 to 749 of the family's 1533-position model. Lineage: Bacteria; Bacillati; Bacillota; Clostridia; Eubacteriales; Clostridiaceae. The record is from RNAcentral.